Molecule: unclassified non-coding RNA, 229 nt
Filed under: plant metagenome
Description: partial contains small subunit ribosomal RNA, internal transcribed spacer 1, and 5.8S ribosomal RNA
Source: RNAcentral
UCUCCGUAGGUGAACCUGCGGAGGGAUCAUUACAGAGUUCUCGCCCCCGCGGGUAGAUCUCUCACCCACUGUUAUCGUUACUGUGUUGCUUUGGCGGGCCGCCGGGCCCCGCUCGGCCGCCGGCUCCGGCUUGCGCGCGCCCGCCAGAGGCCCAGCAAACUCUGAAUGUUAGUGUCGUCUGAGUACUAUAUAAUAGUUAAAACUUUCAACAACGGAUCUCUUGGUUCUG